UAGUACGGCGAGUGAAGAGAGGAAGAGCCCAAGAUUGAAAGCUGGCGUCUUCGGCGUCCGCAUUGUAAUCUCAAGAAGUGUUUUCCGCUUCGGACCAAGCCUAAGUCCCCUGGAAAGGGGCAUCAUAGAGGGUGAUAAUCCCGUACAUGGCUUGGAGCGCCCGAGGCUUUGUGAUACGCUUUCUAAGAGUCGAGUUGUUUGGGAAUGCAGCUCAAAAUGGGUGGUAAAUGCCAUCUAAGGCUAAAUAUUGGGGAGAGACCGAUAGCGAACAAGUACAGUGAUGGAAAGAUGAAAAGAACUUUGAAAAGAGAGUUAAACAGUACGUGAAAUUGCCAAAAGGGAAGGGUAGGAGGUCAGAGAUGCGGCCUGGGAUUCAGCCUUGCUUUUGCUUGGUGUUUUUCCCAGAUUGCAGGCCAACGUCCGUUUUGGGCACUGGAGAAGGGUAGGAGGAACGUGGCACCCCUCGGGGUGUGUUAUAGCCUCCUACUGGAUACAGCGACCGAGACCGAGGACAGCAGCGUACUCGCAAGAGCGGGCCUUUGGGCACCUUUACGCUUAGGGCGUUGGCAUAAUGGCCCUCUACCACCCGUCUUGA
This 595-nucleotide ribosomal RNA is filed under the name uncultured Pseudozyma. Its description in RNAcentral is "LSU rRNA". It matches the Rfam family "Eukaryotic large subunit ribosomal RNA", at positions 81 to 657 of the family's 3401-position model. The record is from RNAcentral. Lineage: Eukaryota; Fungi; Basidiomycota; Ustilaginomycetes; Ustilaginales; Ustilaginaceae.